Lolium rigidum is the source of this 1368-nucleotide long non-coding RNA. RefSeq lists it as uncharacterized. The transcript has 3 exons. The record is from RefSeq and is a predicted model, not a curated record. NCBI's taxonomy places the organism in Eukaryota, Viridiplantae, Streptophyta, Magnoliopsida, Poales, Poaceae.
CGCCGCCGGCUGCAGAGAAGACGCCGGCCGAUGAUGCUCCUCAUCUCAGGCUUGAUUGGCAGGAGACCCCGGUCCACGGUAUGGAGUCAAGUAAGUUUAGUGUGCAAGUUCACCAUGGUGGAUAUUUUGUGGGAUCUGGAGAGACUGUUAGCUACACGGAUGAGAAAGGAAUUGCAUGGUUUGACAACUUGGACAGAAACAACUUUAAAAUGGACACUAUAGACCUCAUGAUCGAUCAGUUAUGCUAUACUAGUAGGUAGCACGUGCUUUGCACGUUGAAAGACACAAUAUAAGCAUACAAUUUUUUAAUACAAAUGUCAUUUACUACAUGUAUAUUUAAGCUAAAUUUCAUUUCCUUUAAGCUUUAAAGAAAACACUCUAACAAUUGACAUACUCAUAGCGGUAUAAAGUUACCUUGUUACAUUUUUAUCUUCACAAUAUUCAACAGAAGAAGUAACUAUUUCUCGAUCGAUUUAUACAUAGUUUUCUCUUGGUUAUUGUCAAUGGUAUUCCAUAAAAUUUAUGUGUGACAUAUACUACUUUUAUUUGGUAGUAACAUGACUUGAUUUAGAAAAAAAAUGGAAUGAAAAAAUUAAAGCUCCAUGAAUACAUUCAUCUGUAUGUAACAGAGUGGUUAUUCCUCAGUCAACUUACUCUCAACCAACAGUUAUAGCCGCAUGAGAUCUUAUCAUCUAUUUGAAAUUUCAUAGAUCCCAAUAUUUAGAUCACAUGGUUAUUAACGUUGACUUAAAACCAGUUAUUUUUUUGGUUUUCAAGAGAAUAGCGAAACCUAAAAAAAUGCAAGAUUAACAAUGUAUAUGUUCAUGAAAUGUAGGAUUUUAAUAGCCAAUUCACGCACUAUUAAUUUCCGUAAAAACACGUUCUAGAUCAAGCUAAAUGGGAGUACAUACAAAUUAAUUUUUGUAGGAAUGGCUAAAAAUAAGUUUGCGCUUCUUGAAAUAAAAGUGUCAAUAGUACUUUUUAUAUGUACAUACCCGCAUAGGUGUGGGUAUUUCCGCCACCAUCCGUUUUACCUUGAGAUUUGGAUAUAAGGAGGAGAGAGAUAGCGCUACUUUUUCAUCUACCAUAGUGAGGAAUUUCGUGGAAUUAAUCGACGGUGAUGGAAAACCCACACCCAUGCCGUGUGUGCAAAAUCAAUUCCAUGGUUGACAUUCUGUCACGUGAGGGGCCUGCACAAGCAAUGCCCCUAUCUGGGAGAGCACUAGGAUCAAGAGGAACUAGAGGGGGAAGAGGAGCAAGAGGAGCAAAAGCAGUUUAAGUUAUCUAUAUAUGGCAGUUUAAUUGUGAUGGCAAUGUCUUAAUACUGCUCACUUUUGAUGUUAUAAUAGACCAUGAAUACAAUUAUAU